CGAGUGGCGACGGGUGAGUAACACGUGGGUGAUCUGCCCUGCACUUUGGGAUAAGCCUGGGAAACUGGGUCUAAUACCGAAUAUGACCGCAUUCUUCAUGGGGUGUGGUGGAAAGCUUUUGCGGUGUGGGAUGGGCCCGCGGCCUAUCAGCUUGUUGGUGGGGUAAUGGCCUACCAAGGCGACGACGGGUAGCCGGCCUGAGAGGGUGACCGGCCACACUGGGACUGAGAUACGGCCCAGACUCCUACGGGAGGCAGCAGUGGGGAAUAUUGCACAAUGGGCGCAAGCCUGAUGCAGCGACGCCGCGUGAGGGAUGACGGCCUUCGGGUUGUAGACCUCUUUCAGCACAGACGAAGCGCAAGUGACGGUAUGUGCAGAAGAAGGACCGGCCAACUACGUGCCAGCAGCCGCGGUAAUACGUAGGGUCCGAGCGUUGUCCGGAAUUACUGGGCGUAAAGAGCUCGUAGGUGGUUUGUCGCGUUGUUCGUGAAAACUCACAGCUUAACUGUGGGCGUGCGGGCGAUACGGGCAGACUUGAGUACUGCAGGGGAGACUGGAAUUCCUGGUGUAGCGGUGGAAUGCGCAGAUAUCAGGAGGAACACCGGUGGCGAAGGCGGGUCUCUGGGCAGUAACUGACGCUGAGGAGCGAAAGCGUGGGGAGCGAACAGGAUUAGAUACCCUGGUAGUCCACGCCGUAAACGGUGGGUACUAGGUGUGGGUUUCCUUCCUUGGGGUCCGUGCCGUAGCUAACGCAUUAAGUACCCCGCCUGGGGAGUACGGCCGCAAGGCUAAAACUCAAAGAAAUUGACGGGGGCCCGCACAAGCGGCGGAGCAUGUGGAUUAAUUCGAUGCAACGCGAAGAACCUUACCUGGGUUUGACAUGCACAGGACGCCAGUAGAGAUAUUGGUUCCCUUGUGGCCUGUGUGCAGGUGGUGCAUGGCUGUCGUCAGCUCGUGUCGUGAGAUGUUGGGUUAAGUCCCGCAACGAGCGCAACCCUUGUCCUAUGUUGCCAGCGGGUUAUGCCGGGGACUCGUAGGAGACUGCCGGGGUCAACUCGGAGGAAGGUGGGGAUGACGUCAAGUCAUCAUGCCCCUUAUGUCCAGGGCUUCACACAUGCUACAAUGGCCGGUACAAAGGGCUGCGAUGCCGUGAGGUGGAGCGAAUCCUUGUAAAGCCGGUCUCAGUUCGGAUCGGGGUCUGCAACUCGACCCCGUGAAGUCGGAGUCGCUAUAAUCGCAAGAUCAGCAACG
RNAcentral lists this ribosomal RNA (1251 nucleotides) under uncultured Actinomycetes bacterium. RNAcentral describes it as "bacterial SSU rRNA". It matches the Rfam family "Bacterial small subunit ribosomal RNA", at positions 92 to 1356 of the family's 1533-position model. Lineage: Bacteria; Bacillati; Actinomycetota; Actinomycetes. The record is from RNAcentral.